AUUCUUUUAGUAUAUAAGUAUAAUCAACUUCCAAUUGAUAGGACCUUUUAGGAAAGAAUA
RNAcentral lists this transfer RNA (60 nucleotides) under Alloeorhynchus bakeri. Its description in RNAcentral is "tRNA-Gly". Lineage: Eukaryota; Metazoa; Arthropoda; Insecta; Hemiptera; Nabidae. The record is from RNAcentral.